GCUUCAACAAUUGUUGUGAGCCUGUGAAGCACAGGUAAGCACAGGGGGAUUAUGCCUCACUGCCAGCUGAACUUUGCAGGCUACAGAUAGUUUACAGCUACCUUUCUGCUUUUUAAAAUAUGAGACUGAGAGAAGAAAAAAAAGCAACAAGCAGUGAAUACAACUUGUUUCCUAACCUUCCUUCCAGACCAUCACUGAACCACUAAUGCUCUGUUAUACUGAAAUAAUGUGAAAGAUGUUUGCUUUUAGCUGGGAAAAAGCCUGAGAUUAGUCAUGAAAGCUUUUGUGGAAUCAUAUGACAGUAGAUCAUGUAGUACCUUACUAGGAUAUUUUGGAAAUUAUUUUCUCAUUCUGUACCCUUCUGUGGAAUUACUUGCCAUAAUAAAUAACUCAUUGUAUUAGUAUUUUAAAUUAACACAGUAACAUUUUUGCUAAAGCCCAUUAAAUUUAAGAACUAGGCCUAUUUGAGCAGGCUAAAUCAAAGGCCAGGAUGUAUCACUCACUUACUUCCUGGAGGAUUACUGACCUCCUCAGGUGCUGCUAUCAACAGCUCAUGAGGCAGAAGAGUGAGUGAUUCUAGCACUGACAAGCACAAGAUCCUCCCCUUAGUGGCUUCAGGUAAUGAUGGAAACCUUCCCUCAUUGUGGGAGCCCCCCUUUAUUAUGGUCAGCACAUUACAGGCUCACAAAUGGGCUGAGGGAUGAGAGGGAGGGGGUUGUCUGGCCCCUAGCCUGGCUGAGCCAAGUGCUGCAGCAGGCACAGGGAUAAGCGGGGGGUCUAAGGAUACUCUCCCCACCCACUGCCCUCAUUGGACAACUGCUUCCAUGAGCGACCUGCAAAAAAAUCUGCUCCAGUACCUGCUCCUCUCCUCUUCCUUGCUCUCCCAGUUCACUGGGCUCCCUUUCCAUCACCAGUUUUCUGGUCUAGCAAUAGGGCUGGAAGUGCCUCAUGGAAGCAGAGCCAAAGGCAGGGGAGCACAGAUGCUCCCUGGGAAGCACCAGGAGCUUGAGGGACAAUUCCCAGCUUCAGCUGAUCCUCCCUCUUGAUAAACCCCUUUCCUCAGCACUUUUAAGCACACAGACAACGCCAAGGGUUUUGAUAUUUAAUCCUGAUGUUUUGUGGAAUGGGUUUGGUCCUGCAAUCUAUUAUGUAACCCUGCCAGUAAAGCAGGCAGAGACCUGUCCCCCACCGCUUUGUCAGCAAUGUACCUGCCAGGAGAUGGCGAGGCCAGGAAGCAGAACAGCCUACAAAGGUAAGGAGGCACGGAUUGGUUACCUGGUGGGGUUACCUGUUGGCACAGGGGCACCACAGUCACAGAGCUGGGAUGGGGCUGGGCCAGCAGCUCUGUGCAGCACUGACCAAACUGGCUGGGGCAUCCUCCAGCCAAGGUGAACCUCAGACCUCCCACAGGCCCAACUCUGAAGUCAGCACGACUCAGUUUGAUCUAUCUAUUAUUUCCCCAGGAUAUUAUUCUCAAACUUCUGCUUCAGGACAUACCCAACAAUAAUCCUCUCCUCCAAAAAAGGGUUGUGUCAACUACUGGCUUCACACUUCUGUGAUAUGAAGUGAAAACACACAGGCUGUGUCAGACUGCACAGGGAGAGAAAGAUGGGGAAGGUGAGUGGAAAGGUGAGUUCAUGGUACAGCCACACUAAAGCUUUUAAACUCUAAGGCCAAGUCCCCAGGUCCCAGGACCUGCAGAGCUCAGAGCAGUACUGCUGGCAGCUUUUGGAAAUUGAACACAAAGUCUCAGUGAAUCUGGAGACCUCCCACACUCCUGCAACCUUCCCAUCUCACUGACCUGGGGAGCAGCAGCAAUCCCAGGCUGGCAGGGCCAGUCUUCCCUUUGUGAGACAACUACACCAGUGACAUCCACUGCUGUCGGUGCCUUGGCACCAGGAUGCAAGCAAGACACCUUCUUCUGGGAUCUUUAAAAUUCAGCCUUGCAAAGCUCUU
Long non-coding RNA from Ficedula albicollis (Collared flycatcher), 1956 nucleotides. RefSeq lists it as uncharacterized. Lineage: Eukaryota; Metazoa; Chordata; Aves; Passeriformes; Muscicapidae. The transcript has 2 exons. The record is from RefSeq and is a predicted model, not a curated record.